GUUGAGCCGAGGGGCCUUGCGGAAACGACAGACAGCGCUGUCAGAAACCGUAGCAAGUGAGCCCGCACCACGUUGACAGCUGAUGCGCUCGUGAUGAAAUACUGUGCCUUUCGCAAGGGGCACUUCAGACAGUAGCUUA
Molecule: non-coding RNA, 139 nt
Filed under: unclassified sequences
Description: poplar-1 RNA
Rfam family: poplar-1 RNA
About the family: metagenome only. Environment (Groundwater, Oak Ridge)
Source: Rfam by way of RNAcentral